UCGUGUCGUAGAUGUUCGGUUAAGUCCGGCAACGAGCGCAACCCACAUCUUUAGUUGCCAGCAGGUUAAGUUGGGCACUCUAAAGAAACUGCCCGUGAUAAGCGGGAGGAAGGUGUGGAUGACGUCAAGUCCUCAUGGCCCUUACGGGUUGGGCUACACACGUGCUACAAUGGCAGUGACAAUGGGUUAAUCCCAAAAAGCUGUCUCAGUUCGGAUUGGGGUCUGCAACUCGACCCCAUGAAGUCGGAAUCGCUAGUAAUCGCGUAACAGCAUGACGCGGUGAAUACGUUCCCGGGCCUUGUACACACCGCCCGUCACACCAUGGGAGUUGGUUCUACCCGACGACGCUGCGCUAACCUUCGGGGGGCAGGCGGCCACGGUAGGAACAGCGACUGGGGUG
Molecule: ribosomal RNA, 400 nt
Filed under: uncultured Sulfitobacter MT30
Lineage: Bacteria; Pseudomonadati; Pseudomonadota; Alphaproteobacteria; Rhodobacterales; Roseobacteraceae
Description: bacterial SSU rRNA
Rfam family: Bacterial small subunit ribosomal RNA
Source: RNAcentral